Long non-coding RNA from Gadus morhua (Atlantic cod), 974 nucleotides. RefSeq lists it as uncharacterized. NCBI's taxonomy places the organism in Eukaryota, Metazoa, Chordata, Actinopteri, Gadiformes, Gadidae. The record is from RefSeq and is a predicted model, not a curated record. The transcript is spliced from 2 exons.
UCAGAUCACAUGAUGAACAAAACACUGGUCUCUCGUCAUGAGGAGAGGAGACGAGGAGAUGAGACGAGGAGAGGCGAUGAGGAGAGGAGAUAAGGAACCAGAUCCUCUCAGAAGACAACCCACGUGCAAACAGGCACUACGUUUGAAUUGGCAUUCUCAUGUGUUCAUGGAGCAGGUGCCUCAUCCGUGUACCAACACGGGCCAUCUGCAGGCCCCAGAGUGGAGCUAUGAUGAGCUGCAGUAUGGGAGGUUUCUGGCAGUUUCCCCCUCAGAUGAGCCUGGUUUUCUGGGAUUUCUGGGAGGCUGAGAGGCCCUGAGAGCAGAGCCUGAAGAGACGCCCACGGGCAGGGGUCUGGAUGGAGGAGCGUGGAGAUAAGAACGCAGACUCAUGCGGAGACUGCAGGGGGCCGCGAUCCUAGCAGGGAGGAGAACGCGUGGGUGCUCUCUGCAGACCCACUCGCUCCCCCGAAGGGCCCAGCCCACAUAAACACUGUUUCCUCCUACAUUAGUACCUCCUGAGUCAUCAGAAAACAGAGAACAUUGAAUCAUGACGGCACGACGCAGAACCCUAGAGGCGGCCAUUAGUGAGGACAUUCGCUCAUUAACCUGGUAUUUGGAAAACUUCCCCGCAGACGCUUGCACACAAUGUUGUGUUGUUCUGUUGUUAAGAGGGGAUUAAAAAAGGCCAUUACAGCACCCCCUGCUGGCCCAAGAGGCUGCAUUUUCCCCUUUCCUCGACUGCCUGCCUGAGCGUGAGUUGAUAUUGAGGACAUGUCUGUCUCUGGUUUCCUGCUGUUUAUGUCUUGAUGUCUCGCGUGAUGAAUUCACAUCUUUAGUUAAUUGGCGGAUAUUUCAGUAAUUAUUUUAUCCAAGGGACUUGUGGCCGGGAAAACUCUACAUUACCCCGAUUGAAUGUUGUUCUGAAAGGCUUUAUGUUUAGGAGUUUAUGCCAAUAAAACAUGUGUUCUAUCCAA